AAUAGGGGCGCGCUCUCUUUUCUCCAAUUCCAAGACAUGCAGCUUGGUCCUUGUUGCAGGCUGCUUGCCUAAUGGGCUUUCUUUGGGGUACUUGCAGGAGCACCGCCAAUUGCGUAGCCUCCUGGCGUCUCGUCCCUCCGCCCAUUUUGUAGGAAGCCGUGUGACAUCAUGACAACCGUUGAAAAUUGAGGAAAAUCAUGGAUUGGCGUCACUGUCAGUAUUCCAAUGUCACAUAAUAUUCCAACCUUGCCUUUUUCUUCUUGAUGUUGAUGAGAGCUUUACAUCUAGAAGUAUAACAUGCCUCUCUCAGUCUUGUGCGUGCAAUGUCCUGCAAUACUUUCACCCCAAGUGUAUGGAGAUCAUUAGCAAUUACUCAAGCUGACAAUUUGGUGUUUAUUUUUGCCGGUCAUCAGUUUCUAGUAUCUUCUAUCGAUGGCCUGAUCGCUGGUGAUUCCUAUGUCCUCCAGUAGUUAGUUUAUUUCUAACAUUCUGUACUGUUGACUUUGAAAUACUCAAGCAUUCUGCAGUAGCUCUAAUUGAUUCUCUUUUCUUUCAUGCUCACAAUAGCAUUCUUGGUCAUCGUACUCAGUUCUCUGGCUUUCAUCUGCUGGUUUCUUGUUUUGCUUAUAAAGUACACUCUACAAACGCAUCAAAAGGAUAUAACCCGUACCCUGAGACUCACUGCUUCCCAAUUAUAAAUAAUUACAGCUAAUGUUCAUUUGUCUCAGUACUUAGGCUGACUUGGAAUAGGGGGACUUGACUCAUUGGCAUGGUUGUAAAAUGGUUCAUUGUCUGUUUAAAAAAAUAAAUAAAUAAAAACGCACGAAAUAAAUGCAGAUUGAAUUUGCCUUGGUUAUUGUUUGAUUUGAAAAUACAAAUCUGAUUAGUGCAGUGGAAAACCAGCCAAUUUGAUACAGCUGUUCAAUACUUUAUCAUUUAACUGUAUAUGGGCUGCAUUGUAGUAUGUGUAGGGCAUGUGACCUAGAACUGGGUUUGUAACCUAAAAAGUUGUAGGUCCAAUUUCCUGGUAGUUUUUGGCUGUUGUACCCUUGAGCAUGGUCCUUCACCUGCUGCAGUGUAUUUCUAGCUGAAUAAAUGGAUACUAUGUAAAAAUGCAAAAGGUAUUGUGAGUAACUUUGUAAAAAGGCAAAAAGUAUUUAAAGUUGCUCCAGUCAACAUGUGCUAAAUGACAUGUAAUGUAAUGUGUUUAUGUUCCACUAUACAGAAGGAAUUGUUUUCAUACAGGCAACAAUAAUGACAAGGUGUUCCUUAUCAGUGUCUUCCAGAGGUCCUCCAUGGGGUUCACCCUCUGGACAGCACCAACAGGGAGGAGAAGACACAGAUUCUGGAUUAGCUUCUGGUUGCAGUUGGAAUAUUGACCCAGAAUAUCUGAGCCAUUUGUUGCGAAAGGAGAGUGUGCCCCCCUGUGCACGACUCAAACGGUCACUGCUGUUUGCCCCUGUCCCCACCCACCUCCUCAGUCUGCUGCGUUCCAUUUCCUCAGUCGAUGUGCCAAAAGAUGGAAAUGGAACUUAAACAGAUGAGCCUGACACCUAAGAUUGGGGUGGCUAGAGGGAGGUUGAUGCCACCUCACUCUGCUCAAACAGGUGAGAAAAGAUGGUGGGAAAGUGACCUUUUCUCCUCAGACUGAGGGAAGGCAAGUCUCCAAAGCCAGGUGGAAGUGUAACUGAGGCGAAUUGAAUAUGCAAGGCUCAGUAAAUCUACCGUAAUCCCAGCUGCUGUGCAUAUAUGAGCAGGAUAAUCCUGCGAGUGAGUUUUACCCUUUGCUGACGUUUUAUCUUUUAUUUUUCCAUUCACUGAAUGCAGAAAUGGCACUCCUUACAUGGGCAUCAAUAGUGGUACUGCAGUGGCAAUUGAUGCCGAUAAAUAGGUUUGUGAUGCUGAUGCUGAAAACGACUGCAUAUACCUCUUCCUCCAUAUGCCAGUCUUCCUCCUUUCUGGUUCUUUGGAUGGGAGCUGUCACUGGGGCCAUACCCACAUGCACGUUAUGAGAUAAAUGCACACAGUCUGCUGUCAUAUCUAUCUGUUCUUUGAUCAGCAGCAUUUCAGGACCUACUCAAAAACUUACUACGCACAAUCCAUUUUUAUAAAAAAAUGCCUUCCAUGAGUCUAUAAUGCAUUGCCCUUGCAAAUCCACAAGACUGUAUAAUUCAUUGAAAAUCUCUCAGGUCUCGUGCAUUUGGCUUUGGCUUACUCCAAAAAUAUAGUUUGGGUCCACACUCAAAAUAGUGUCAUAGGUUGUGCAACAGCUACUUCCUGCAGCAAUAUGUCUGACAGAAUGAGCAUCACAUCUGACUCCCAGUAGUGAAUACUUAAUACUAUAUAAAUUAAGGCCAUGCUACCUGCAUGGAGUAUAUGGCAUGAAUUGAAUUACCAUGUAUGCAUAUUUUAGAGUUGUGAAUUUCUUUUGGCAAUGACAACUUUGACUCCACUCAGCAUUAAGUAAAAUCAGUGUUGUGAACACAAGCAUGCCAGACACAAGUUGAAACGUCACUGCGGUGCUCCAGAGGCAUGGGGAUCACAGGAUGGGUGCUUCAGCUUGCUUUAAACAGUGUAGAAAG
Long non-coding RNA from Anguilla rostrata (American eel), 2582 nucleotides. RefSeq lists it as uncharacterized. NCBI's taxonomy places the organism in Eukaryota, Metazoa, Chordata, Actinopteri, Anguilliformes, Anguillidae. The record is from RefSeq and is a predicted model, not a curated record. The transcript is spliced from 2 exons.